RNAcentral lists this ribosomal RNA (582 nucleotides) under Arsenophonus endosymbiont of Bemisia tabaci. RNAcentral describes it as "partial 23S ribosomal RNA". It matches the Rfam family "Bacterial large subunit ribosomal RNA", at positions 152 to 775 of the family's 2925-position model. Lineage: Bacteria; Pseudomonadati; Pseudomonadota; Gammaproteobacteria; Enterobacterales; Morganellaceae. The record is from RNAcentral.
CGUUUGAUUGAUUCAUAGUCAAACGAGGCGAACCGGGGAAACUGAAACAUCUCAGUACCCCGAGAAAAAGAAAUCAACCGAGAUUCCCCCAGUAGCGGCGAGCGAACGGGGAGCAGCCCAGAGUCAACAUCAAUAUUUACCACAGGAGAAGGGUCUGGAAAAGCCGGCAAUAAAGGGUGAUAGCCCCGUAUCUAAAGCGGUAAGUGUUGUGAACUCGAAGAGUAGGGCGGGACACGUGUUAUCCUGUCUGAAUAUGGGGGGACCAUCCUCCAAGGCUAAAUACUCCUGACUGACCGAUAGUGAACCAGUACCGUGAGGGAAAGGCGAAAAGAACCCCGGCGAGGGGAGUGAAAUAGAACCUAAAACCGUGUACGUACAAGCAGUAGGAGCACCCGAAAGGGUGUGACUGCGUACCUUUUGUAUAAUGAGUCAGCGACUUAUAUUCUGUAGCAAGGUUAACCGCAUAGGGGAGCCGUAGGGAAACCGAGUCUUAACUGGGCGUUAAGUUGCAGGGUAUAGACCCGAAACCCGGUGAUCUAGCCAUAAGCAGGUUGAAGGUUGGGUAACACUAACUGGAGGACC